CACGCAUGACACACUGCAUAUCAAUAAGCGGAGGAAAAGAAACUAACUAGGAUUCCCUUAGUAACGGCGAGUGAAGCGGGAAGAGCUCAAAUUUGAAAUCUUCAAGGUUCUACCUUGACGAAUUGUAGUUUAUAGAAGUGUUUUCUGUUAGUGAGUUUGGUAAAAGUUCUUUGGAAUAGGACAUCAUAGAGGGUGAGAAUCCCGUAUUUGGUACCAUUAUUUCCAGCUGUGUGAUACACUUUCAAAGAGUCGGAUUGUUUGGGAAUGCAGUCCAAAAUGGGUGGUAAAUUUCAUCUAAAGCUAAAUAUUGGCGAGAGACCGAUAGCGAACAAGUACCGUGAGGGAAAGAUGAAAAGAACUUUGAAAAGAGAGUUAAACAGUACGUGAAAUUGUCAAAAGGGAAGCGUUUGACACCAGUGUUGUUUUCUCGAAAAUCAAUUAAAAAGGCUUUGAUUUUAAGUGAUUGUUAUGACUUUAUCAGGCUUACUGCACUUUUUUCAUGUAACUUUCUUAAUGCACUUUUCAGUUAACAAGUCAACAUCAAUUUCUUUGUUGUAAAAGGGUAUGAGGAAGGUGGCUUUCUUUUCGGAGAAAGUGUUUAUAGCCUUGUACCUCUGCAAUCGGAGAGAUUGAGGUCUGCAGCGUAGAUCCUUCGGGGUUAGAUACAUUUGUGCUAAGUUAUAGCUUUUCAUAGACAACUUGUUGACUAUGUUAAGUCUUGUAGCUUACUCGCUUAUGCUAUUUUACCUACGCUUAGGAUGUUGACUGAUAUGUAGUCGUA
RNAcentral lists this ribosomal RNA (781 nucleotides) under uncultured Neocallimastigales. RNAcentral describes it as "partial large subunit ribosomal RNA". It matches the Rfam family "Eukaryotic large subunit ribosomal RNA", at positions 24 to 644 of the family's 3401-position model. The record is from RNAcentral. Lineage: Eukaryota; Fungi; Neocallimastigomycota; Neocallimastigomycetes; Neocallimastigales.